CACGUAGUUAGCCGUGGCUUUCUGGUCAGGUACCGUCAAGGUACCGCCCUGUUCGAACGGUACUUGUUCUUCCCUGACAACAGAGCUUUACGAUCCGAAGACCUUCUUCGCUCACGCGGCGUUGCUCCGUCAGACUUUCGUCCAUUGCGGAAGAUUCCCUACUGCUGCCUCCCGUAGGAGUCUGGGCCGUGUCUCAGUCCCAGUGUGGCCGAUCACCCUCUCAGGUCGGCUACGCAUCGUCGCCUUGGUGAGCCGUUACCUCACCAACUAGCUAAUGCGCCGCGGGCCCAUCUGCAAGCGGCAGCUUGCGCCGCCUUUCAACCUUCCUUCAUGCGAAGGAGGUAUUAUCCGGUAUUAGCCCCGGUUUCCCGGAGUUUACUCCCCCGGUCUUGCAGGCAGGUUGCCCACGUGUUACUCACCCGUCCGCCGCUAACUUUCAAAAGCAAGCUUCUUGAAGUUCGCUCGACUUGCAUGUAUUAGGCACGCCGCCAGCGUUCGUCCUGAGCCAGGACUCAAACU
RNAcentral lists this ribosomal RNA (519 nucleotides) under uncultured Bacillus sp. Its description in RNAcentral is "partial 16S ribosomal RNA". Lineage: Bacteria; Bacillati; Bacillota; Bacilli; Caryophanales; Bacillaceae. The record is from RNAcentral.